UACGUAGGGGGCAAGCGUUGUCCGGAUUUAUUGGGCGUAAAGAGCGUGUAGGCGGUCAGGUAGGUCUGCUGUGAAAACUCGAGGCUUAACCUCGAGCUGUCGGCGGAAACCAUCUGGCUAGAGUCCGGAAGAGGAGAAUGGAAUUCCCGGCGUAGCGGUGAAAUGCGCAGAUAUCGGGAAGAACACCCGUGGCGAAGGCGGUUCUCUGGGACGGUACUGACGCUGAGACGCGAAAGCGUGGGGAGCGAACAGG
Molecule: ribosomal RNA, 253 nt
Filed under: uncultured bacterium
Lineage: Bacteria
Description: partial 16S ribosomal RNA
Rfam family: Bacterial small subunit ribosomal RNA
Source: RNAcentral